AUAUCGAGAAUAAAGCUGAAAUACUAAUUAGAGAAUAAAGUUCAAAUGUCGAGAAUAAGGUUGAAAUUCUGUUUUGAGAAUAAAGUUGAAAUGUUGAGAAUAAAGUUGAAAUACUGUUUCAAGAAUAUAGUCAAAAUGUCGAGAAUAAAGCUGAAAUAAUAAUUAGAGAAUAAAGUUGAAAUGUUGAGAAUAAGGUUGAAAUUCUAUCUCAAGAAUAAAGUUGAAAUGUUGAGAAUGAAGUUAAAAUGGUGAGAACAAAGUUGAAAUACUAUUUCAAGAAUAUAGUCAAAAUGUCAAGAAUAAAGC
This is a long non-coding RNA of Thalassophryne amazonica, 306 nucleotides long. RefSeq lists it as uncharacterized. The record is from RefSeq and is a predicted model, not a curated record. The transcript has 3 exons. NCBI's taxonomy places the organism in Eukaryota, Metazoa, Chordata, Actinopteri, Batrachoidiformes, Batrachoididae.